RNAcentral lists this ribosomal RNA (253 nucleotides) under uncultured bacterium. RNAcentral describes it as "partial 16S ribosomal RNA". It matches the Rfam family "Bacterial small subunit ribosomal RNA", at positions 524 to 776 of the family's 1533-position model. The record is from RNAcentral.
GACAGAGGCCCCGAGCGUUAGUCGGAAUUACUGGGCUUAAAGGGUGCGUAGGCGGGCGUGUAAGUGCCUUGUGAAAGCCCUGGGCUCAACCCAGGAACCGCAGGGCAUACUGCACGUCUCGAGGUAGCUAGAGGCCGGUGGAACGAUCGGUGGAGCGGUGGAAUGCGUAGAGAUCGAUCGGAACACCAGUGGCGAAGGCGGAACUCUGGGCCGGAACUGACGCUGAGGAGCGAAAGCGUGGGGAGCGAACAGG